Molecule: small RNA, 1900 nt
Filed under: Pongo abelii (Sumatran orangutan)
Lineage: Eukaryota; Metazoa; Chordata; Mammalia; Primates; Hominidae
Description: retained intron
Source: RNAcentral
AGAAUCGAAACUGAGAGCUCCUGGGCAGGCUCGGCAGGGCAGGCAGCUCCAGGAGGGCUUCGAACCGUGGCCAACAGUUCCAGUGGACCGCGUGGACCCGUGAGCUCAGGAGCCUCAGACGCCGCCCCGGAGAGCCAAGCUGGUGUUCGAGGUGGCGCCUCCAGGGUCCAGCCUGCUGCCCAACAGCCCCACGGCCACCAGAGGGCCAUCCCUGGCCCGGCUGUGUGCCCUGGUGGACCUGUGUCUGGGCUGCUCCCACUGCACCCAGCGGCUCAAUGAAAGCACCUACGUCCUCCGCAGGGUGGAGCAUGACUGCUCCCGUGAGAUCCUGCUGGCCCGCUUUAAGCAGGCCACCAAGAGCAAGGUCUGGCGCGUGGUGGGCUGCCGGCCCACCUUCCCGAGGCCCCUGUGCUACCAAGUCUGCCGCUACUACAGCCCUGGGCUCGGCUGCCGGCGCCACCGAAACCGGUGCACCUUUGCCCGCAGUCGUGAGGAGGCCCUGGUCUGGACCUUCGAGCGUCAGCACAACCUCCAGCGCCUAUGGCUGAAGGCGGAGGUGCAGGGCGGCGGGGCCCAGGGAGGGGCAGGCCGGGCGGCCGACGCCAUCCUCACAGAGUUUGGCGGCCGCUUCGAGCUGCUUUGCUCCCUCUGCUUCAGGUGCUCUCCCCCACGCGUCUGUCGCGUGGACCCCCAGAGGCAGUGCCCUGAGCACGGAGCCUGCCCCUCCCUCCUGGCCCACGUGAGCGCCGAGGGCCGCCGCAAGCAACAGUUUGUGGCGGUGAGGCCGCAGCCCCGGGCCGGCCAGCCUCCUGCCUACUGCAGGUUUGUGGGGCGUGGGCAGCCGUGCUGGCGUGGGGAGUCCCGCUGCCAGUUCGCACACAGCGCCGUGGAGAUGGCUGUGUGGGAGGCCGAGCAGCUGGGUGGCCUCCAGCGGGGGGACCUGCUCACACCCCCUGCCCCUGAUGGCGACGGGCGCACGGCCCCCCUUGGCCAGCCCCCUGGAGCCCAGCUGUACUGCCCGGCCUGCUUGGUCACCUGUCACUCUCAGGAGGCCUUCGAGAACCACUGCGCAUCCUCGGAGCACGCACAGAUGGUGGCCUUCGACCAGGCCGUGCCCUGGGAGCACCGUUCCCCACCCCCGGGACUCUCCAAGUUCGAGCUCUGCCCAAAGCCUGACCUCUGUGAGUAUGGGGACGCCUGCACCAAGGCGCACUCAGCACGGGAGCUGCAGGAGUGGGUCCAGCGCACGCAGGCUGUGGAGCUGCGGGGGCAGGCGGCCUGGCAGGAUGGGCUGGUGCCCUACCAGGAGCGGCUGCUGGCCGAGUACCAGCGCAGCAGCAGUGAGGUCCUUGUGGUAAGUGGGCCCUGGGAGUGGGUGGGGUGGGGUGGGGUCCAGGCCUCCUGCUGAAGGCUAGACUUCCACACAGCUGGCAGAGACCCUUGAUGGAGUUCGUGUCACCUGCAACCAGCCCCUGAUGUACCAGGCCCAGGAGAGGAAGACCCAGUACAGCUGGACGUUUGCCGUCCACUCCGAGGUGAGCAGAGAGCAGCUCCGACUGGGCGGAGGGAGCCCUGGGGAAGUGGUGACCUCAGCCCGGGCAGACGUCAAGAGCCUGGGUCGUGGAGCUAAUACCGAGGCACUGCCGCUCAGCGCCUGGGUGACCUGCGGCAGGUCCCUUAGCUCUCUGCCUCAGUCUCCUCACCUAGAGACAGGGGGGCCAGGACAGUCCCACCUUGGCAGGGUUACUCUAUGGAGUAUAUGGGUUAAAACAAGGAUUUGGCCAGGUGCGGUGGUUCACACCUGUAAUCCCAGCACUUUGGGAGGCCGAGGCAGGUGGAUCACCUGAAGUCAGGAGUUCAAGAUCAGCCUGGCCAAUAUGGCAAAACUCCGUCUCUACUA